Molecule: ribosomal RNA, 482 nt
Filed under: uncultured bacterium
Lineage: Bacteria
Description: bacterial SSU rRNA
Rfam family: Bacterial small subunit ribosomal RNA
Source: RNAcentral
GAUUAUGGCUCAGGAUGAACGCUGGCGGCGUGCCUAAUACAUGCAAGUCGAACGAGGGUAGUAAUACCCUAGUGGCGAACGGGUGAGUAACGCGUGAACAACCUGACCCAAAGAGGGGGAUAACAUUUGGAAACAGAUGCUAAUACCGCAUAAGACCACAACGUCACAUGGCGAAGGGGUCAAAGGAGCAAUCCGCUUUGGGAGGGGUUCGCGUCCCAUUAGGUAGAUGGCGGGGUAACGGCCCACCAUGCCAACGAUGGGUAGCCGAGCUGAGAGGCUGAUCGGCCACACUGGAACUGAGACACGGUCCAGACUCCUACGGGAGGCAGCAGUGGGGAAUAUUGGGCAAUGGGCGCAAAGCCUGACCCAGCAACGCCGCGUGAGGGAAGAAGGUUUUCGGAUUGUAAACCUCUGUCGCAGAAGACGAAGGAAGUGACGGUAUUCUGUGAGGAAGCCCCGGCUAACUACGUGCCAGCCGCGGC